GACUUGGGACAUGGUCCAUUUUCUCAUGUGUUUGAUACAAGAGUGAAAACAAAAUUGAUUGAGUAUCAUGAAAGAGAAAAAAAGAUUUUGGAAAAUCAGUUAUGUGAAGAUGCUAAUAAGAAUGAGGAUUACCUCUACCACCAAAAACAAGCAGAAAAAUUGGAAAAUUGGAAGCAUGAAGUUGCAUCUUGUGCCAUGUUUGAUUACAUCUUGAAAACCACCGAUGGCCUAAAAGAUGCUUUUGAGAAGAGAAAUCUUGGCGAGAAAGAGCAAAAACUUAUCAAAGAUCUAAUUAAAGGUAAAAACCCGGAUGAAGAUGACAUCACGGAAAUCCCUACAGUUUAUGAAAAACCGAAAUGGUUUCUGUUCGAAAUUGUCGCCAAUAAAAUAUUCGAAGUUGAUUGUGAUAAGUUCGAUUAUUUUGCCCGUGAUUGUCACAACCUGGGAAUGAAGAGCAAUUUCGAUCAUCUUCGCUACAUCAACAAUAUUCAAAUAAAGUUGGUACCAAAAGACGACGGGCUACACUUGUGUCCACGCGAUAAGCUUGCUUAUAAUAUAUACGAGCUUUUCCACACUCGAUGGUCAUUACAUCAUCGCGCUUAUCAACACAAAACCACGAAAGCCAUAGAGGAAAUGAUUACAGAUGCUCUCAUUUUGUUGGAAGAGAAAUACAAGUUUUCCGAGGCAAUAUUUGAUAUGGAGAAAUAUACCAAGCUCACCGAUAGCAUAUUUUACGAAAUCUUGCGCAGCAAUGAUACGGAUGAGAAGACCGAGAAAGCUAAAAAAAUUCUCGAAAGGAUCCAGCAGCGAAAUUUGUAUAAGUUUUAUGGCGAGUUUCAACCUGCCAAAAAAUUGGAAAUCGACGAUUUGGAGUCUGCUGCAGAGGAAAUAGAGUCAUUAUCCGGAGGCCGUGUAAAGGCGAAGGAAUUAGUUGUCACCACUGUUAAUAUUAAUUUUGGCAAAAAAAAUGAAGACCCCGUGAAAUCUGUUGUAUUUUGCGAAAAAGACGGCGAUAUUGUUAAGAAGUCUGGGGAUGACGUGAGCAGAAUGCUUCCACAGACAUUCUCCGAGCAAUACGUUCGCCUCUACGGAAAGGAUCCCGCAACAGACAUCAACAAAAAAGAGAUUGCUGAGAAAUGUUUUAAAAAGUGGAGCGAGGAUAAACCCAACUCAGACCAUCGCCUUGUAGUUGUCGUAUCAAUAUUGCUUGGAGGAGCAGCACUAUUGAAAUACUUAAAAUAACUAAAUAAUUAACAGUUAUCGAAAGCUCAUAUUCGACGAGAGUGACUGAGUGGAAUGACUGUUUCAUUAUAUACACAAGGUCUGAAUUCACUGCUUUCGGAUAUUUUCAAUAUUUUUCUAUUUUUUUAUGUUUUUAUCUUCGCUCUUUCGGCCGAUUAUUUUUUAAAAAUAUAUAUUUUUAACCAUUUUAAAUUUUAAAAAUUCAUUUGCUAACCUGUAAACAGUUUGUGGGAGAGUUUUCAUUGUGUUUUUAAUCCUUUAAAGGCUAUAAAAAGCGAACAACCUUCCGUUUUAUUGUUUGCAAACGUCGGAAAUUCAAUUUGAGCCGCCAUUUGUUUUCUCUACUAGCAGGAUAUGAGCUAAUUUCCUGCUAGUAGAGAACCAAUCAAAUUGCAGAAUACCUUAUAUCCAGACGUUGUGUAUAUAAUAAGUUCAAUUAUCCUCCAUUUGCUUUUCUCUUUCAAACCAAUGGUUAUACAGCUAUAGUGCUAGUAGUACCAAUGCAUCUGCAUGUUUUUUAAUGAUAUUUGCCAACACAAUUUGUCGGUCCAGAAUGGUCUUUUCAUUUACACAGUUUCUUUUCAGUAUAAUUUCGACGUUGAUAUUAAGAAACUAUUAUGGGAAAUCAGAGUUAUUGUGCGUACAGCAAACACAUGCUUCGUUAUGAGUCUUUGCAUUCCUGCA
Molecule: long non-coding RNA, 1926 nt
Filed under: Paramuricea clavata
Lineage: Eukaryota; Metazoa; Cnidaria; Anthozoa; Malacalcyonacea; Plexauridae
Source: RNAcentral